This 552-nucleotide ribosomal RNA is filed under the name uncultured bacterium. Its description in RNAcentral is "bacterial SSU rRNA". It matches the Rfam family "Bacterial small subunit ribosomal RNA", at positions 355 to 897 of the family's 1533-position model. The record is from RNAcentral.
UGGGGAAUCUUCCGCAAUGGGCGAAAGCCUGACGGAGCAACGCCGCGUGGGGGACGAAGGCCUUCGGGUCGUAAACCCCUGUCAUGGGGAAAGAAGGGCCUCGGGGUGAACAGCCUCGGGGCUUGACGGUACCUCAAGAGGAAGCCACGGCCAACUCCGUGCCAGCAGCCGCGGUAAUACGGAGGUGGCAAGCGUUGUUCGGAAUUACUGGGCGUAAAGGGCGCGUAGGCGGGGCGAUAAGUCGGGUGUGAAAUCCCUCGGCUCAACCGAGGAACGGCGCCCGAAACUGUCGUUCUUGAGUCCCGGAGAGGAAGGUGGAAUUCCCGGUGUAGCGGUGAAAUGUGUAGAGAUCGGGAGGAACACCGGUGGCGAAGGCGGCCUUCUGGACGGUGACUGACGCUGAGGCGCGAAAGCGUGGGGAGCAAACGGGAUUAGAUACCCCGGUAGUCCACGCUGUAAACGAUGGGUGCUAGGUGUGGGGGGUAUCGACCCCCCCCGUGGCGAACCUAACGCAUUAAGCACCCCGCCUGGCGAGCACGGCCGCAAGGUUGA